AGGUUAUCACAAAAGGGCUUGUGGGUUCAUGAACCUAGGAGCUCUUAAUCCUAUGACUAAUGACUGAAGUUCUCCACUGGAUGCCAAGGUCACUAGGGGAUAUAAGA
RNAcentral lists this small nucleolar RNA (107 nucleotides) under Sus scrofa (pig). Its description in RNAcentral is "Small nucleolar RNA SNORA25 (ENSSSCG00070018488.1)". The record is from RNAcentral. Lineage: Eukaryota; Metazoa; Chordata; Mammalia; Artiodactyla; Suidae.